GAUUCCGUAGCUCAGCUGGUAGAGCAUCUGACUUUUAAUCAGAGGGUCCCAGGUUCGAACCCUGGCGGAAUCA
This 73-nucleotide transfer RNA is filed under the name Rhodothermaceae bacterium. RNAcentral describes it as "tRNA-Lys". It matches the Rfam family "tRNA". From Rfam's summary of the family: Transfer RNA (tRNA) molecules are approximately 80 nucleotides in length. Their secondary structure includes four short double-helical elements and three loops (D, anti-codon, and T loops). The record is from RNAcentral. Lineage: Bacteria; Pseudomonadati; Rhodothermota; Rhodothermia; Rhodothermales; Rhodothermaceae.